This is a long non-coding RNA of Bubalus bubalis (water buffalo), 965 nucleotides long. RefSeq lists it as uncharacterized. NCBI's taxonomy places the organism in Eukaryota, Metazoa, Chordata, Mammalia, Artiodactyla, Bovidae. The transcript has 4 exons. The record is from RefSeq and is a predicted model, not a curated record.
CUUUAACCAGUCCCGCGAGCAGCAGGCAGAAGCCACUGCCAACAUUUCCAGCCCCAGUGCCAAGAGUUCCCCUCACUGCGUGAACAGGUGGGCUCAGGAUUCAACCAGCUACGUUCAGACACCUCUGGUUGCUCAUGAAUAUUAUGGAGCUGUGAGACCGUGGAGCAAAGCCACAUUCACGGACCUGCUCUGUCUAUGGAGUGCUCACACUAUUUUGGUGACAUGGCUAUGAAAUACUUCCCUGGGAUCUGCUAGUCUAUCCACAUUCACAUCUGAAUAUGAAGAAAUACAUCCUCCUACAGUCACUUGCAUCACACCUGGGAGUCAUAAUGGUUAUCUAUUUUGAUGCCUGCACAAUCCCCAAGUCAAUUCUGACUUUCUUUGGAAAACAUCGCCGUUUGCCUCAAAGCCUAUGAGAUUUCGUUCCCAGGACUUGGGACUGAGACCCAGGAAGUCAAAACAUCUGAACGGGUGCCAUGCAUUCAGCUGCAGAACCCCAUGGAUAGAGGAACCCAGCAAGCCGUGGCCCAGGGGGUCACAGAGAGUUGGGCACGAUGAAGGCAAGAGCACGCACGCUUGUACCAGGCACAGCAGGAGCAAGACCUCAGAGGGAAAGAGAACUGCAUUUCUUUAUAAUUUCCCGAAAAGACUGACUGGUUUGGAAAAUCACAAGAAGAUCACGGAGAAUGAGAACACAGAGUUUGCAAAGUAAACUAUAGAGUCUAGAAAGCAUGCCACCCAAUAACCUUUUGGGGGAAAAGAGGGUUUUUGCUACAAUACUUCUCAAGCAAAACCCAAGAAGAUUGCAGCCCUCUUAGGUGCUGGAGUAACAGAUGCUUGGGUGGAAAAUUAGCAAUGGCCAAAGGAAGAAUAAGCUUAAAGGCAAUUUCUGAAACCUGAAGACCCUGACCUAUGAGUCCCAGUGGUGGCACAGAAGCACCUGCUGAGGGGGAACCAGAAGAGGC